AGCUGCAUCGGUUUGAUCGGGAGACUCAUCAAUUACAAUCAGAAAACCGAGAACGCUUCGUUAUCCAAUGGCGGGCUGCGCCAAUCCUUCGUGGAGAGGUAACUUCUUAACGGGAGCCGGCAGAUUACAAAGGGUACGGGCACUCAAAUCAUAUUUACUCGGAGUUCUUAUCACAUCACCGAUGCAGCUACUU
RNAcentral lists this small RNA (193 nucleotides) under bovine gut metagenome. Its description in RNAcentral is "Bacteroidales-1 6S-Bacteroidales RNA suggested". It matches the Rfam family "Bacteroidales-1 6S-Bacteroidales RNA suggested". The record is from RNAcentral.